GAUAAACGCUGGCGGCGCACAUAAGACAUGCAAGUUGAACGGACUUAAUCGAAAUAUUUAUAUUUUGAAGCGGUUAGUGGCGGACUGGUGAGUAACGCGUAAGGAAACUGCCUAUUAGAGGGGAAUAACAGUGAGAAAUCAUUGCUAAUACCGCAUAUGCCAUAGAUAUCACAUGAUAACAGUGGGAAAGGAGCAAUCCGCUAAUAGAUGGCCUUGCGUCUGAUUAGAUAGUUGGUGGGGUAACGGCCUACCAAGUCGACGAUCAGUAGCCGGACUGAGAGGUUGAACGGCCACAUUGGGACUGAGAUACGGCCCAGACUCCUACGGGAGGCAGCAGUCGGGAAUAUUGCGCAAUGGAGGAAACUCUGACGCAGUGACGCCGCGUAUAGGAAGAAGGUUUUCGGAUUUUAAACUAUUGUCGUUAGGGAAGAGAAAGGACAGUACCUAAGGAGGAAGCUCCGGCUAACUACGUG
This 473-nucleotide ribosomal RNA is filed under the name uncultured bacterium. Its description in RNAcentral is "partial 16S ribosomal RNA". It matches the Rfam family "Bacterial small subunit ribosomal RNA", at positions 28 to 507 of the family's 1533-position model. The record is from RNAcentral.